AAAUAAACAAAACCUGAAAUAAACCAAAUAGAUAAUCAAAAACUAUCCACUAGUAGUUUGUUUUAUAAGGUUAUUUUGUCUUAUUCUCUAGGUGUAUGCAAAUCUGUGUAUUUUUUAAAUGUGUUACAAAAAGGGGGAGGGGAAUUUUAUCACACGGAAAGUCUAAUAAUCACAAUAUAAAUAUGAAACGAAUAUAUCACUCGCGCAAAUACCAAUAGUACUGAUAAAUCAGCGCGCCAUGAAAUAAUACAAUCGCGGGAGAGAAGAAACAAAGAUUUUUCUCUCGCGAAAACAAAGAAAAAAAAUGAAAUACGGCGGG
This 319-nucleotide long non-coding RNA is filed under the name Mytilus galloprovincialis (Mediterranean mussel). Lineage: Eukaryota; Metazoa; Mollusca; Bivalvia; Mytilida; Mytilidae. The record is from RNAcentral.